GGGCUAUAAUCAUACUGGGGAUGCAAAAUGUGGUGGUGAAAUUGACAGAAAGUUCAUCAGGCAGCUCACAGUCAAACAGGGAAGAAAGAGAUUACACAAACCACAACACAAAUAAUUAACUGUAAUUGUGAGAAGAGCCACAAAAGAACUCCAAUCUUAAAAAUUCCUCUGGACAGUAUCAGAAACAGUCUUACUACAAUAAAAAUGGAAAUGAGUUGAACUGAUGUCAAUGCUCUUGACACGUGUAUUACUAGUUUGGAUAAGACAAAGACUAAAAGGGUCUUUGCAUUCUGUUUAGAAGUUAAAGCUGGCAACCAAAGAUCAUGCCUUCGUGAAGUAAUUAAUUCUUUCUUCAGAAAGUUACGCCCAAAAGAUGACUGAGAAAACCAGCGUUGCUUGCCCUUGAAGGAUUUAGUCCACCAUCACCAUCAAGAACCGAGAUAAAAAAUAUCAUCACAGGCCAACAGUUUUAGAAGUUAAGUUCAAGACUUCCUUUUCUACUUCGAGCUCACCUGAAAAGGGUGGAGAAGGGAAGAUGGUGUAAAAUCAGAAGCAGCUCGGAGGCGCCCUCCACGGACUGUCUCUUCAAAGGCCAGCCCUUCCCCUCAGUAACCCGGACCCUGCGUUCCUGCUCCUCCCUGUCAGGCCCACCUGCCUGAGAUACCACCGGAAAUGCGUUUGAUUUGUGAGAUAUCUUCUUUGCAAAUGAAAUCAUCUCGGGAAAAUUUCUCCUUAGCACCUACGUGCCCUGAAGACAUGGUAAUUUUGAUGAGUAGGGAUUGGAAAAGAUUA
RNAcentral lists this long non-coding RNA (792 nucleotides) under Equus asinus (donkey). RNAcentral's name for it is "lncRNA (ENSEASG00005033211.1)". The record is from RNAcentral. Lineage: Eukaryota; Metazoa; Chordata; Mammalia; Perissodactyla; Equidae.